CCUACGGGUGGCAGCAGUGGGGAAUAUUGGUCAAUGGGCGCAAGCCUGAACCAGCGACGCCGCGUGAGUGAUGAAGGCCUUCGGGUUGUAAAGCUCUGUGGGGAGGGAAGAAAACGUCUCGGGCGAAUAGGCCGAGACCUUGACGGUACCUCCUUAGCAAGCACCGGCUAACUCUGUGCCAGCAGCCGCGGUAAGACAGAGGGUGCAAACGUUGCUCGGAAUUACUGGGCGUAAAGCGCGUGUAGGCGGAUCGGCAAGUCGGGCGUGAAAUCCCUGGGCUCAACCCAGGAACUGCACUCGAAACUGCCGGUCUUGAGGAAUGGAGAGGGAAGCGGAAUUCCUGGUGUAGAGGUGAAAUUCGUAGAUAUCAGGAGGAACACCGGUGGCGAAGGCGGCUUCCUGGACAUUUACUGACGCUGAGACGCGAAAGCGUGGGGAGC
RNAcentral lists this ribosomal RNA (440 nucleotides) under uncultured bacterium. RNAcentral describes it as "bacterial SSU rRNA". It matches the Rfam family "Bacterial small subunit ribosomal RNA", at positions 338 to 769 of the family's 1533-position model. The record is from RNAcentral.